This 253-nucleotide ribosomal RNA is filed under the name uncultured bacterium. RNAcentral's name for it is "partial 16S ribosomal RNA". It matches the Rfam family "Bacterial small subunit ribosomal RNA", at positions 524 to 776 of the family's 1533-position model. The record is from RNAcentral.
UACGGAGGGUGCGAGCGUUAAUCGGAAUUACUGGGCGUAAAGCGAGCGUAGGCGGUUGUCUAAGCCAGAUGUGAAAGCCCUGGGCUUAACCUAGGAACUGCAUUUGGAACUGGGCAACUAGAGUAUAGGAGAGGAGGGUAGAAUUUCAGGUGUAGCGGUGAAAUGCGUAGAGAUCUGAAGGAAUACCGGUGGCGAAGGCGGCCCUCUGGCCUAAUACUGACGCUGAGGUUCGAAAGCGUGGGGAGCAAACAGG